UACGAAGGGGGCGAGCGUUGUUCGGAUUUACUGGGCGUAAAGGGCGCGCAGGCGGCGAUCUUUGUCAGGCGUGAAAGCCCCGGGCUUAACCUGGGAACUGCGCUUGGGACGGGAUUGCUGGAGACCGGGAGAGGAGAGUGGAAUUCCCAGUGUAGAGGUGAAAUUCGUAGAUAUUAGGAAGAACACCGGUGGCGAAGGCGGCCCACUGGUCCGGUACUGACGCUGAGGUGCGAAAGCGUGGGGAGCAAACAGG
Molecule: ribosomal RNA, 253 nt
Filed under: uncultured bacterium
Lineage: Bacteria
Description: partial 16S ribosomal RNA
Rfam family: Bacterial small subunit ribosomal RNA
Source: RNAcentral